CCAAUAGCGUAUAUUAGUGUUGUUGCGGUUAAAAAGCUCGUAGUUGAAUUUCGGGAUUGGGAUAUAUCGGUCGUGCCUUUAGGGGCAUGAAUCAGUGUGUGGCCAAUUCUCACCUUCUGGUGGAUUGGGAUGCUCUCGGGUGUUUCAAUGAACUAGGCUUUUACUUUGAAAAAAUUAGAGUGUUUAAAGCGGGCAUUUUU
This 200-nucleotide ribosomal RNA is filed under the name uncultured Glomus. Its description in RNAcentral is "partial small subunit ribosomal RNA". It matches the Rfam family "Eukaryotic small subunit ribosomal RNA", at positions 591 to 791 of the family's 1831-position model. The record is from RNAcentral. Lineage: Eukaryota; Fungi; Glomeromycota; Glomeromycetes; Glomerales; Glomeraceae.